Molecule: ribosomal RNA, 497 nt
Filed under: uncultured bacterium
Lineage: Bacteria
Description: partial 16S ribosomal RNA
Rfam family: Bacterial small subunit ribosomal RNA
Source: RNAcentral
GAUGAACGCUGGCGGCGUGCCUAAUACAUGCAAGUCGAGCGAACAGACGAGGAGCUUGCUCCUCUGACGUUAGCGGCGGACGGGUGAGUAACACGUGUAUCACCUACCUAUAAGACUGGGAUAACUUCGGGAAACGGGAGCUAAUCCCGGAUAAUAUAUUGAACCGCAUGGUUCAAUAGUGAAAGACGGCUUUGCUGUCACUUAUAGAUGGAUCCGCGCCGGAUUAGCUAGUUGGUAGGGUAACGGCUUAUCAAGGCAAGGAUGCGUAGACGACGUGACAGGGUGAUCGGCCACACUGGAACUGAGACACGGUCCAGACUCCUACGGGAGGCAGCAGUAGGGAAUCUUCCGCAAUGGGCGAAAGCCUUACGGAGCAACGCCGCGUGAGUGAUAGAAGUCUUCGGAGCGUAAAACUCUGUUAUUAGGGAAGAACAAAUGUGUAAGUAACUAUGCACUGAUUGACGGUACCUAAUCAGAAAGCCACGGCUAACUACGUG